This 253-nucleotide ribosomal RNA is filed under the name uncultured bacterium. RNAcentral describes it as "partial 16S ribosomal RNA". It matches the Rfam family "Bacterial small subunit ribosomal RNA", at positions 524 to 776 of the family's 1533-position model. The record is from RNAcentral.
UACGAAGGGGGCUAGCGUUGCUCGGAAUCACUGGGCGUAAAGCGCGCGCAGGCGGUCUUCCAAGUCAGUGGUGAAAGCCCGGAGCUCAACUCCGGAACUGCCAUUGAAACUGUGAGACUGGAGUACGAGAGAGGUGAGUGGAAUUCCCAGUGUAGAGGUGAAAUUCGUAGAUAUUGGGAAGAACACCGGUGGCGAAGGCGGCUCACUGGCUCGUAACUGACGCUCAGGCGCGACAGCGUGGGGAUCAAACAGG